GGCGCUCCUGUCCUCCGCAGGUGCUCGCUGUCCUCCAAUGGCACUCCACUUCUAUCCUCUGACAGCGCGCUAGUAACCUCCGCAGGUGUGCUUCCUCUAAUCUCCGCCGGCGCGUUGCAUCUAUACUCCGAUGGCGCUCCCGUCCGCCGCAGGUGCUCCCUGUUCUCUGCAGAUGCUCCCGUCCUCUGCAGGCGCUCGCUGUCCUCUGCUGGUGCUCCACAUCUAUCCUCCAAUGGCACACAACCUGUAACCUCCGCCAGGGUGCUACCUCUUAUCCUCUGCUGGCGCGCUACCUCUAUCUUCUGACGGUGCUCUGUCCUCGGCAGGCGCUCCCUAUUCUCCGCAGGUGCUCCCGUCCUCUACAGGUGCUUGCCGCCCUCAGCAGGUGCUCCACCUCUGUCUUCUGGAAGCGCGCUAUCUCUAAACUCCACUGACGCGCUACCUCUAUCGUCUGACGGUGCUCCCAUUCUCUGCAGACGUUCCCUGUUCUCCGCAGGUGCUCCCAUCCUCCGCAGAUGCUCCAUCACUAUCAUCCAAUGGCGCGCUACCUCUAUCUUCUGACAGUGCUCCUGUCAUCCGCCGGCACUCCCUGUUCUCCUCAGCUACUCCCAUCCUCCGCAAAUGCUCCACAUCUAUCCUCCGACGGCGCACUAUCUGUAACCUCCACCAGUGUCCUACCUCCUAUCUUCUGCUGGCGCUCUACCUCUAUCCACUGGCGGCACACUACGUCUAUCCGUUGCUGGUGUGUUACCACUAAACUCAGCCAGCGAGAUACCUCUAUCUUCUAACGGCGCUCCAGUCCUCCGCAGGUGCUUCCUGUUUUCCUCAGGUGCUCUCGUCCUCUGCAGGCACUCGCUGUCCUCCACAGGCACUCCACCUCUAUCAUCUGACAGAACACUACAUCCAACCUCGGCCGGUGCACUACAUCCAUCCUCCAAUGGCAAGCUACCUCUAACCUCCGCUGGCGUGCUACCUCAAUCUUCUGACGGUGCUCCCAUCCCCCACAGGUGCCGCACCUCUUUCCUCUGCUGGCGCACUUCCUCAAUCCUCUGCCGGUGCACUACCUCUACACUCUGAUGAUGUUCCCAUACUGUGCAGGCAAUCCCUGUUCUCCACAGGUGCUCCUGUCCUCUACAGGCGCUCACCGUCCUCUGGAGGCAAUCCACCUCAAUCUUCUGAAGGCAUGCUAUUGCAAAACCCAGCCAGCGAAUUACUUCUAUUUUCUUACGGUGCUCCCAUCGUCCGCAGGCGCUCCCUGUUCUACGCAGGUGCUCCCAUCCUCCGUAGAAACUCCACCUCUAUCAUCGGAUGGCGAAACAGAACCUCCACCUUGAUGCUCCGACAGCGCACUACCGGUAACCUCCGCCUGUGCACUAUCUUCUACCUCUAUCUUCCGAUCGCGCUCCUGUCAUUUGCAGGCACACCUUGUUCUCUGCAGGUGCUCCCGUACUCCGUAGAAACUCCACCUCUAUCAUCGGAUGGCGCACUACAUCUAACCUCUGCCAGCAAACAAACUCUGUUUUCUGACGGUGAUCCCAUCCUCUGCAAUCACUCCCUGUUCUCCACAGGUGCUCCUUUCAACCACUGACAUUCUACCUCUAUCCACGAACAGCACACUACCUCUAACCUCCGAUAGCGCGCUAACUCUUAUCCUCUGCCAGGAUGCUACUGCUAACCUCCGACGGCGCACGACCUCUAUCUUCAGAUGGUGCUCCCGUCAUCUGCAGGUGCUCCCUGUUUUCCGCAGGUGCUCCUGUCCUCGGCAGAUGCUCCACCUCUAUCCCGUGAUGGCACACUACAUAUAACCUCUGCCGGCGCACUAAUUCUGUCUUCUGACGGCGCUCCUGUCCUCCACAGUCACUCCCUGUUCACCACAGGUGCUCCCAUCCUCCGCAGACCCUCAACGUCGAUCCAGUGACAGAGCACUACCUCUAACCUCUGCCAGCAUGCUACCUCUUUCUUCUGACAGCGCACCCAUCAUCUGCAGGCGCUCCUUGUUCUCCACAGGUGCUCCUGUCCUCUGCAGAUGCUCCACCUUUAUCCUCUGAUGAUGCACUACAUCUAACCUCUGCCGGCGCACUAACUAUGCCUUCUGACAGUGCUCCCGUCCUCCAGAGGUGCUCCCUGUUCUCCGCAGGUGCUACGAUCCUCCGCAGACCCUCCACCUCGAUCCUCUGAUGGCACACUACCUCUAACCUCUGCCGGCGCACUACCUCUAUCUUCUAACCACGCUCCCAUCAUCUGCAAGCAGUCUCUGUUCUCCGCAGAUGCUCUCGUCCUCCGCAAACGCUCCAACUCGAUCCUCUGAUGAUGCACUACAUGUAACCUCUGCCGGCGCACUAACUCUGUCUUCUGAUGGUGCUCCUGUCCUUGGCAAUCGCUUCCUGUUCUCCGCAGGUGCUCCCAUCCUCCGCAGAAGUUCCAGCUCUAUCCUCUGAGAGUGCACUACCUCUAUCCUCUGCCGGGGCACUAACUAUGCAUUCUGACAGUGCUGCCAUCAUCUACAGAUGUUCUGUGUUCUCUGCAGGUAACCCCAUCAACCACAGGUGCUUUACAUCUAUCCUCUGAAGGCACACUACAUCUAACCUCUGCCGGCGCACUAACUAUGCCUGCUGACAGCACUCCUGUCCUCCGCAGGUGCUCCCUGUUCUCAUGAGGUACUCCGAUCCUCCGCAGACACUCCACCUUGAUCCUCUGAUGGCACACUACCUCUAACCUCUGCUGGCACAAUACCUAUAUCUUCUAACCACGCUCCCAUCAUCUGUAAGCAGUCUCUGUUCUCCACAGAUGGUCUUGUCCUCCGCAGACGCUCCAACUCGAUCCUCUGAUGAUGCACUACAUCUAACCUCUGCCGGCGCACUAUGUCUUCUGACAGCGCUCCUGUCCUCCGCAGGUGCUCCCUGUUCGCUGCAGGUGCUCCCAUCCUUCGCAGACCCUCCACCUCGAUCCUCUGAUGGCACAAUGCCUCUAACCUCUGCUGGCGCACUACCUCUAUCUCCUAACCACGCUCCCAUCAUCUGCAAGUGGUCUCUGUUCUCCGCAGAUGCUCUUGUCCUCCGCAGACGCUUCACGUAUAUCCUCUGAUGAUGCACUACCUCGAAACUCUGCCGGCGCACUACCUCUAUCUUCUGACAACGCUCCCGUCAUCUGCAGGCACUCCUUGAUCUCUGUAGGUGUUCCCGUCCUCUGCCAAUGCUCCACCUCAAUCCUCUGAUGAUGCACUACAUCUAACCUCUGCUGGCGCACUAACUAUGCAUUCCGACAGCCCUCCCAUCAUCUUCAGGUGUUCUAUGUCCUCCGCAGGUGCUCCUAUCCUCCGCAGAUGCUCCACCUCUAUCCUCUGAAGGCACACUGCAUCUAACCUCUGCCGGCGCACUAACUAUGCCUUCUAACAGCGCUCCCGUCCUCCACAGGUGCUCCCUGUUCUCCGCAGGUGCUCCUAUCCUCCACAGAUGCUCCACCUCUAUUUUCUGAAGGCACACUACAUCUAACCUCUGCCGGCGCACUAACUAUGCCUUCUAACAGCGCUCCCGUCCUCCACAGGUGCUCCCUGUUCUCCGCAGGUGCUCCGAUCCUCCGCAGACCCUCCACCUCGGUCCUCUGAUGGCACAAUACCUCUAACCUCUGCCGGCGCACUACCUCAAUCUUCUAACCACGCUCCCAUUAUAUGCAAGCCGUCUGUGUUCUCCGCAGAUGCUCUUGUCCUCUGCAGACGCUCCACAUCUAUCCUCAGACAGCGCACUACCUCUGACCUCUGCCGGCGCACUACCUCUAUCUUCUGACAAUACUCCUAACAUCUGCAGGCACUCCUUGACCUCCGCAGAUAAUCUUGUCCUCUGCAGACGCUCCACAUCUGUCCUCGGAUGAUGCACUACAUCUGACCUCUGCCAGCGCACUAACUCUGUCUUCUGAUGGUGCUCCUGUCCUUGGCAAUUGCUUCCUGUCCUCCGCAGAUGCUCCACUUAUAUCCUCUGAAGGCACACUGCAUCUAACCUCUGCCGGCGCACUAACUAAGCCUUCUGACAGCGCUCCCGUCCUCCGCACAUGCUCCCUGUUCUCCGCAGGUGCUCCCAUCCUUCGCAGACCCUCCACCUUGAUCCUCUGAUGGCACACUACCUCUAACCUCUGCUGGCACACUACCUCUAUCUCCUAACCACGCUCCCAUCAUCUGCAAGUGGUCUCUGUUCUCCGCAGAUGCUCUUGUCCUCCGCAGAUGCUCCAACUCGAUCCUCUGAUGAUGCACUACCUCCAAACUCUGCCGGCGCACUACCUCUAUCUUCUGACAACGCUCCCAUCAUCUGCCGGCGCUCUGUGCUCUCUGCAGUUGCUCCCGUCCUCCGCAGAUGCUCCAUCUAUAUCCUCUGAAGGCACACUACAUCUAACCUCUGCCGGCGCACUAACUAUGUCUUCUGACAGCACUCCUGUCCUCCGCAGGUGCUCCCUGUUCUCCUCAGGUACAUCAAUCCUCCCCAGACGCUCCACCUCGAUCCUCUGAUGGCACACUACCUCUAACCUCUGCCGGCGCACUACCUCUAUCUUCUAACCACGCUCCCAUCAUCUGCAAGCGGUCUCUGUUCUCCGCGGAUGCUCUUGUCAUCUGCAGACGCUCCAACUCGAUCCUCUGAAGGCACACUACCUCUAACCUCUGCCGGCGCACUAACUCUGUCUUCUGAUGGUGCUCCUGUCCUUGGCAAUCGCUUCCUGUUCUCCGCAGGUGCUCCUAUCCUCCGCAGAUGCUCCACCUAUAUCCUCUGAAGGCACACUACAUCUAACCUCUGCCGGUGCACUAACUAUGUCUUCUAACAGCGCUCCUGUCCUCCACAGGUGCUCCCUGUUCGCUGCAGGUGCUCCCAUCCUUCGCAGACCCUCCACCUCGAUCCUCUGAUGGCACAAUGCCUCUAACCUCUGCUGGCGCACUACCUCUAUCUCCUAACCACGCUCCCAUCAUCUGCAAGCGGUCUCUGUUCUCCGCAGAUGCUCUUGUCCUCCGCAGACGCUCCAACUCGAUCCUCUGAUGAUGCCCUACAUCUAACCUCUGCCCGCGAACUAACUAUGCCUUCUAACAGCGCUCCCGUCCUCCACAGGUGCUCCCUGUUCUCCGCAGGUGCUCCGAUCCUCCGCAGACCCUCCGCCUCGAUCCUCUGAUGGCACAAUACCUCUAACCUCUGCCGGCGCACUACCUCAAUCUUCUAACCACGCUCCCAUUAUCUGCAAGCCGUCUGUGUUCUCCGCAGAUGCUCUUGUCCUCUGCAGACGCUCCACAUCUAUCCUCAGACAGCGCACUACAUCUGACCUCUGCUGGCGCACUACCUCUAUCUUCUGACAAUACUCCCAACAUCUGCAGGCACUCCUUGACCUCCGCAGAUGCUCUUGUCCCCUGCAGACGCUCCACAUCUGUCCUCGGAUGAUGCACUACAUCUAACCUCUGCCAGCGCACUAACUCUGUCUUCUGAUGCUGCUCCUGUCCUUGGCAAUUGCUUCCUGUUCUCCGCAGGUGCUCCUAUCCUCCGCAGAUGCUCCACCUCUGUCCUCUGAAGGCACACUACAUCUAACCUCUGCCGGCGCACUAACUAUGCCUUCUGACAGCGCUCCCGUCCUCCGCACGUGCUCCCUGUUCUCCGCAGGUGCUCCGAUCCUCCGCAGAUAAUCCACCUUGAUCCUCUGAUGGCACAUUACCUCUAACCUCUGCCGGCGCACUACCUCUAUCUUCUAACCACGCUCCCAUCAUCUGCAAGCGG
Gallus gallus (chicken) is the source of this 5738-nucleotide long non-coding RNA. Lineage: Eukaryota; Metazoa; Chordata; Aves; Galliformes; Phasianidae. The record is from Ensembl.